GUAUUGAGUCUUCCUAUAUUUUUAUAGAAGAGUUAAUGUUAGAACUAGUAACACAGAAUAUUUUCUCCCCAUGUAAGUGUAAAUCAGAUUGAAUAAAUCACUGAUAAUUACUCGGCAAUGAAAACAUUGUAGUAACCUCUCUAGAAAACCCUACCACUUCAUCCGUUAACCUAACACAAGAACAUCAAGGAAAGAUUAAAAGAUAAAGAAGGAACUCGGCAAACUCAAGUCCCGCCUGUUUACCAAAAACAUCGCCUCUUGCAAAUUAUAAGAGGUAAUGCCUGCCCAGUGACCAUGUGUUCAACGGCCGCAGUAUUUUAACCGCGCGAAGGUAGCGUAAUCACUUGUUUUCUAAAUAAAGACUAGUAUGAACGGCCACACGAGGACUUAACUGUCUCCUUUAUCUAAUCAGUGAAACUGAUCCCCCCGUGCAGAAGCGGGGAUAACACCAUAAGACGAGAAGACCCUAUGGAGCUUUAAACCGAACUAACUACCCUUCUUAAACCUCCAAAGAGCUAACACAUUUAGGUAGUAUUAAUUUUGGUUUUGGGUUGGGGCGACCAUGAAGAAAAACUUAACCUUCCUGAUGACUUAUAAACUAAGAGUUACAACUCUAAGUAUUAAGACUCUUAACCUUUAUUGACCCACUUUGUGACCAACGAACCAAGUUACCCUAGGGAUAACAGCGCAAUCCAUUUCAAGAGUCCUUAUCGACAAAUGGGUUUACGACCUCGAUGUUGGAUCAGGGCACCCAAGUGGUGCAACCGCUACUAAAGGUUCG
This 781-nucleotide ribosomal RNA is filed under the name Pelobatrachus nasuta (Malayan horned frog). RNAcentral describes it as "Megophrys nasuta (Malayan horned frog) partial 16S ribosomal RNA". It matches the Rfam family "Bacterial large subunit ribosomal RNA", at positions 1481 to 2575 of the family's 2925-position model. The record is from RNAcentral. Lineage: Eukaryota; Metazoa; Chordata; Amphibia; Anura; Megophryidae.